AGGUGCCAUUCCGAGGGCCAGGAGU
This 25-nucleotide microRNA is filed under the name Dasypus novemcinctus (nine-banded armadillo). Its description in RNAcentral is "dno-miR-3085-5p". The record is from miRBase by way of RNAcentral. Lineage: Eukaryota; Metazoa; Chordata; Mammalia; Cingulata; Dasypodidae.